CAGCCAACAUAAUUUUUCUGUACUGAAAUAGGCACUCCUUCAAUCACUCACUCCACUUGGUUAUUAUUAUCCUGUUUUUAUUUACUUUCUGAUACCAACUUAAUCUAUCACGUCCCGGAUUCCUCGUUUCCCCGGGCACGCUAACAGAUCCGCCGUAUACAAAGAAAUUUUUUCUGUAUAUGAAGCGAAGCUGUACAUGUACCUGCAAUCAUUACAAUACUACAACCAGUAGUAUAGAGCUACUAGGAAGGAACAAAACAUAAAUA
Molecule: long non-coding RNA, 266 nt
Filed under: Ananas comosus (pineapple)
Lineage: Eukaryota; Viridiplantae; Streptophyta; Magnoliopsida; Poales; Bromeliaceae
Description: long non-coding RNA (ACOM_LNC030296)
Source: RNAcentral